Molecule: ribosomal RNA, 468 nt
Filed under: uncultured bacterium
Lineage: Bacteria
Description: partial 16S ribosomal RNA
Rfam family: Bacterial small subunit ribosomal RNA
Source: RNAcentral
GACGAACGCUGGCGGCGUGCUUAACACAUGCAAGUCGAACGGAAAGGCCCUGCUUUUGUGGGGUGCUCGAGUGGCGAACGGGUGAGUAACACGUGAGUAACCUGCCCUUGACUUUGGGAUAACUUCAGGAAACUGGGGCUAUUACCGGAUAUGAGCUCCUUCUGCAUGGUGGGGGUUGGAAAGUUUCGGCGGUUGGGGAUGGACUCGCGGCUUAUCAGCUUGUUGGUGGGGUAGUGGCUUACCAAGGCUUUGACGGGUAGCCGGCCUGAGAGGGUGACCGGCCACAUUGGGACUGAGAUACGGCCCAGACUCCUACGGGAGGCAGCAGUGGGGAAUAUUGCACAAUGGGCGGAAGCCUGAUGCAGCAACGCCGCGUGCGGGAUGACGGCCUUCGGGUUGUAAACCGCUUUCGCCUGUGAAGAAGAGUGAGUGACGGUAAUGGGUAAAGAAGCACCGGCUAACUACGUG